CGCACCUCAUUUACAUCUCCUUUCUUUCGUAACAGUUUCUGAAUCUUCUCUUCUCUUCCCCUCAUAAACAAAAAACCUAGAUCUGAAACCAAUUUUGAUUCCUUCUUCUUCUUAUACCGCAAAACAGUUUUGUGAACUCAAUAACAAGAAAGCCAACCUUAAUUGAAAUAAAAUUAGGUUUAAGUUUUUCAUUUUGAUUUUGACGUAAAUCAAAAAAUGGUGAAGAAGCAAGAGAAAAAGAAAGAUGAAAAGAUGAAGAAAAAUCUUAAGAAAACGGUCAAACUAUCUCCAAAAGGUAAAUCGAAACCUAAUUUUGUUUUACUAUUCUUCGUUGUUUCAUUGUUCUUCUGUGAUGGUUGAAAAUCAACAUGCAUGUUUAACCUGUGAUUUUUGGUUUCACAAAUUUUAGUUUCGUCACCGAUUUUGCAUAAAAUAGCUUUCAUCAGUGGUUUCAUAAUUAGGUUUCUGUUAGUGUCAUAAUUAGGUUUCAUUCCCUUCAAUAUUGUUACUUUCGUAAUUGAUUUUCUGUUAGUUUCAUAAUCGAUUUUCAUCAAUGGUUUCUUUGAUGAAACCAAAAUUGGUUUUCAUCAUUUUCAUAUAUGAUUCACUUUACUGUGUUGGUGAUUUUCAUCAAUGGUUUCUUCGGUGAAACCAAAAUUGGUAUCAUCAUUUUCAUCUAUGAUUCGCUUUACUGUGUUGGUGAUUUUCAUCAAUGGUUUCUUCGGUGAAACCAAAAUUGGUAUCAUCAUUUUCAUCUAUGAUUCGCUUUACUGUGUCGGUGAUUUUCAUCAUUGGUUUCUUCGAUGAAACCAAAAUUUACAUCAAUGGUUUUUUUUUUGUGGAACCCAAAAUUGGUUUCAUCAUUUUCAUAUGUGAUCGCUUAACUUUGUUGGUGAUUUUGUUCAAUGGUUUUGUAGAUGCAACCAAAAUUAGUUUUAUCAUUUUUGUUUUAUUAUUCGCUUAUGGUUUACUUUUGGUUUCACAACAAGGAAAAAAAGAGAAACAGAGCCGUAUAGGUGUUGUUGCAUUAUUUGUGUGCGCUAGCACCUGAGAUAAAAGCUUUGAUACACAACAAAAAACUGAAUAUGAAGGCUCUGGUUUCAUGUCCAUUUUGGUGUUUCUUCAAGUCGCUCUAUGAUGGUAUAUCCAAUUAAGAGUCGUAUGCUGGAAGCUGCUGCAAAUGAAACCAAGGCUGAUGACUUCGUCAAGUUAUUCUUUUUCUACCUUUUGGUUUGUGUAUUCGUCCCCAACAAAGGUGGGUAAACUCUAGCUGCAAAGUACUUGUACUUGGUAUUUGAGAUGAAUAAGGUGUGUUGGCCGGACGUGUUUCAUGAGUAUCUAAUUGAGUUUCAUGAGUAUCUAAUUGAGUGGAUAAUAACAUCCAAAGACGUUGAAAAUGUAGUGGGUUGCAUCAUUUAGCUGCUGUAUUAGUUGGCAGAGAUGUCUUACAUCGCAGAACAAAAGGAUGGGACAUGUAUCCAAGGUUUACUAGAUGGAACCUUGGUGGAAUAUGCUACCAAAUAUUGGAUAAAUUCGAGGAUCUUAGAGAACACCCAGGAAUUUAAUUAAAGAUGAAUAUCGGUCGCUGCAAGGGUUCAUUCAUGCUGACAAACAAGAAAUGCGCUUGGUCGAGCGCAUAGAAUAAAAAGAUAUUGUUGUUGAAGAAGUGUCGGUUGGUGAUGUUGAAAAUGUUGGUCGUGGCAGUGAAGUGCCUGGACAAAAAUGAAGUCAAUGUUGGUGCUGGCAGUGAACUGCGUGGACAAAAUGAAGACAAUGUUGGUGUUAUCGGUGAAGUGAACUCUUAUAAAGACAACUAUCAAUGGGCACAAAAUCUGAUUGAAAAGCUUAGGACCACUGGUAAAAAAUGUGCUUUCUGAAGAAGAAGAAUCAUCGCUGGAAAUAAUACUCGCAUGUGGUGCCCAAUUUAUUAAUUUUUUACAGUUUUUCUUGCAGAUUCAGUUUUACUUGAAGAUAAUCUUUGACAUCAUAAAAGAUAAUGUUUGCUAAGAAGAAUCAUUGCUGGCAAUAAUACUCGUAGUAGCUACUGUGUGUAAAAUGGUUAUCUACUGAUUGUAAUGGUGACAAAUUACAGUUUAUAUAAAAAGAUAUCAGUUGUAGUCCCCUAAA
This is a long non-coding RNA of Papaver somniferum (opium poppy), 2127 nucleotides long. RefSeq lists it as uncharacterized. The record is from RefSeq and is a predicted model, not a curated record. Lineage: Eukaryota; Viridiplantae; Streptophyta; Magnoliopsida; Ranunculales; Papaveraceae. The transcript has 3 exons.